UGGGGAAUAUUGGACAAUGGGCGAAGGCCUGAUCCAGCGACGCCGCGUGGGUGAAGAAGGCCUGCGGGUUGUAAAGCCCUUUCGGUGGGGAAGAAAAGCCUCGACCUAACACGUCGGGGUCUUGACGUAACCCAUAGAAGAAGCACCGGCGAACUCUGUGCAAGCAGCCGCGGUAAUACAGAGGGUGCGAGCGUUAAUCGGAAUUACUGGGCGUAAAGCGCGCGUAGGCGGCUUUGCAAGUCGGGUGUGAAAUCCCCAGGCUUAACCUGGGAACUGCAUUCGAGACUGCAUUGCUAGAGUAUGGGAGAGGGAAGUGGAAUUUCAGGUGUAGCGGUGAAAUGCGUAGAUAUCUGAGGGAACAUCAGUGGCGAAAGCGACUUCCUGGACCAAUACUGACGCUCAUGUGCGAAAGCGUGGGGAGCAAA
Molecule: ribosomal RNA, 425 nt
Filed under: uncultured bacterium
Lineage: Bacteria
Description: bacterial SSU rRNA
Rfam family: Bacterial small subunit ribosomal RNA
Source: RNAcentral